GAUGAACGCUAGCUACAGGCUUAACACAUGCAAGUCGCGGGGCAGCAUGGGGGUUGCUUGCAAUCCCCGAUGGCGACCGGCGCACGGGUGAGUAACGCGUAUCCAACCUGCCCUUCACCACGGGAUAACCCGGCGAAAGUCGGACUAAUACCGUAUGUUGUCCAUUGACGGCAUCCGAUUUGGACGAAAGGUUUGGCGGUGAAGGAUGGGGAUGCGUCCGAUUAGCUGGACGGCGGGGUGACGGCCCACCGGGGCGACGAUCGGUAGGGGUUCUGAGAGGAAGGUCCCCCACACUGGAACUGAGACACGGUCCAGACUCCUACGGGAGGCAGCAGUGAGGAAUAUUGGUCAAUGGGCGUAAGCCUGAACCAGCCAAGUAGCGUGCAGGAUGACGGCCCUAUGGGUUGUAAACUGCUUUUAUGCGGGGAUAAAGUGGCCCACGUGUGGGUUUUUGCAGGUACCGCAUGAAUAAGGACCGGCUAAUUCCGU
This 489-nucleotide ribosomal RNA is filed under the name uncultured bacterium. RNAcentral's name for it is "partial 16S ribosomal RNA". It matches the Rfam family "Bacterial small subunit ribosomal RNA", at positions 28 to 506 of the family's 1533-position model. The record is from RNAcentral.